Molecule: ribosomal RNA, 507 nt
Filed under: uncultured bacterium
Lineage: Bacteria
Description: partial 16S ribosomal RNA
Rfam family: Bacterial small subunit ribosomal RNA
Source: RNAcentral
GACGAACGCUGGCGGCGUGCUUAACACAUGCAAGUCGAACGGGCCUUGUCCCCUUUUUUUUGGGGGUGGGGUUAGUGGCGAACGGGUGAGUAACACGUGAGUAACCUGCCCCUCACUUCUGGAUAACCGCUUGAAAGGGUGGCUAAUACGGGGUGUUCUGGCCUGCUCGCAUGGGUGGGUUUGGAAAGAUUCGACCGGUUUUGGUUGUUUUGGUGGGGGAUGGGCUCGCGGCCUAUCAGCUUGUUGGUGGGGUGAUGGCCUGCCAAGGCUUUGACGGGUAGCCGGCCUGAGAGGGUGGGCGGUCACACUGGGACUGAGACACGGCCCAGACUCCUACGGGGGGCAGCAGUGGGGAAUAUUGCACAAUGGGCGCAAGCCUGAUGCAGCGACGCCGCGUGAGGGAUGGAGGCCUUCGGGUUGUGAACCUCUUUCGCCAGUGAAGAAGGUCCUGCUCUUUGUGGCGGGGUUGACGGUAGCUGGGUUAAUGAAGCGCCGGCUAACUACGUG